This 498-nucleotide ribosomal RNA is filed under the name uncultured bacterium. Its description in RNAcentral is "partial 16S ribosomal RNA". It matches the Rfam family "Bacterial small subunit ribosomal RNA", at positions 29 to 523 of the family's 1533-position model. The record is from RNAcentral.
AUUGAACGCUGGCGGAAUGCUUUACACAUGCAAGUCGAGCGGCAGCGCGGGGCAACCUGGCGGCGAGCGACGAACGGGUGAGUAACAUAUCGGAACGUACCCAUUGGUGGGGGAUAACACAUCGAAAGAUGUGCUAAUACCGCAUACGACCUGAGGGUGAAAGGGGGGGAUCGCAAGACCUCUCGCCGUUGGAGCGGCCGAUAUCGGAUUAGCUAGUUGGUGGGGUAAAGGCUCACCAAGGCGACGAUCCGUAGCUGGUCUGAGAGGACGACCAGCCACACUGGGACUGAGACACGGCCCAGACUCCUACGGGAGGCAGCAGUGGGGAAUUUUGGACAAUGGGGGCAACCCUGAUCCAGCCAUUCCGCGUGAGUGAAGAAGGCCUUCGGGUUGUAAAGCUCUUUCAGCAGGAACGAAACGGUGUGGGUUAAUACCCUGCAUCAAUGACGGUACCUGAAGAAGAAGCACCGGCUAACUACGUGCCAGCCGCCGCCGUAA